This 404-nucleotide ribosomal RNA is filed under the name uncultured bacterium. Its description in RNAcentral is "bacterial SSU rRNA". It matches the Rfam family "Bacterial small subunit ribosomal RNA", at positions 355 to 776 of the family's 1533-position model. The record is from RNAcentral.
UGGGGAAUAUUGGACAAUGGGCGCAAGCCUGAUCCAGCCAUGCCGCGUGAGUGAUGAAGGCCUUAGGGUUGUAAAGCUCUUUCGCCGGUGAAGAUAAUGACGGUAACCGGAAAAGAAGCCCCGGCUAACUUCGUGCCAGCAGCCGCGGUAAUACGAAGGGGGCUAGCGUUGUUCGGAUUUACUGGGCGUAAAGCGCGCGUAGGCGGAUAAAUUAGUUAGAGGUGAAAUCCCAGGGCUCAACCCUGGAACUGCCUUUAAUACUGUUUAUCUAGAGUAUGAAAGAGGUGAGUGGAAUUCCGAGUGUAGAGGUGAAAUUCGUAGAUAUUCGGAGGAACAUCAGUGGCGAAGGCGGCUCACUGGUUCAUUACUGACGCUGAGGUGCGAAAGCGUGGGGAGCAAACAGG